Molecule: ribosomal RNA, 1368 nt
Filed under: uncultured bacterium
Lineage: Bacteria
Description: bacterial SSU rRNA
Rfam family: Bacterial small subunit ribosomal RNA
Source: RNAcentral
GACGAACGCUGGCGGCGUGCUUAACACAUGCAAGUCGAACGGAAAGGCCCGCAUCAUUUUUGUGGUGGGGGUGCUCGAGUGGCGAACGGGUGAGUAACACGUGGGUGAUCUGCCCUGUACUUCGGGAUAAGCUUGGGAAACUGGGUCUAAUACCGGAUAGGACCAUGGUUUAGUGUCUCAUGGUGGAAAGAUUAUUGUUUUGGUGCAGGAUGAGCUCGCGGCCUAUCAGCUUGUUGGUGGGGUAAUGGCCUACCAAGGCGUCGACGGGUAGCCGGCCUGAGAGGGUGGACGGCCACAUUGGGACUGAGAUACGGCCCAGACUCCUACGGGAGGCAGCAGUGGGGAAUAUUGCACAAUGGGCGCAAGCCUGAUGCAGCGACGCCGCGUGGGGGAUGACGGCCUUCGGGUUGUAAACUCCUUUCGUUAGGGACGAAGCCACAUUUUUUGGGUGUGGUGACGGUACCUUUGUUAAGAAGCACCGGCUAACUACGUGCCAGCAGCCGCGGUAAUACGUAGGUGCGAGCGUUGUCCGGAAUUACUGGGCGUAAAGAGCUCGUAGGUGGUUUGUUGCGUCGUCUGUGAAAUUUCCGGGGCUUAACUUCGGGGUGGCAGGCGAUACGGGCAUAACUAGAGUGCUGUAGGGGAGACUGGAAUUCCUGGUGUAGCGGUGGAAUGCGCAGAUAUCAGGAGGAACACCGAUGGCGAAGGCAGGUCUCUGGGCAGUAACUGACGCUGAGGAGCGAAAGCAUGGGGAGCGAACAGGAUUAGAUACCCUGGUAGUCCAUGCUGUAAACGGUGGGCGUUAGGUGUGGGGACCGGUUUGGUUUCUGUGCCGUAGCUAACGCAUUAAGCGCCCCGCCUGGGGAGUACGGCCGCAAGGCUAAAACUCAAAGGAAUUGACGGGGGCCCGCACAAGCGGCGGAGCAUGUGGAUUAAUUCGAUGCAACGCGAAGAACCUUACCUGGGUUUGACAUGCACCAGACGGUUGUAGAGAUACGUACCUCCCUUUGUGGUUGGUGUGCAGGUGGUGCAUGGUUGUCGUCAGCUCGUGUCGUGAGAUGUUGGGUUAAGUCCCGCAACGAGCGCAACCCUUGUCUUAUGUUGCCAGCACUUUGGGUGGGGACUCAUGAGAGACUGCCGGGGUUAACUCGGAGGAAGGUGGGGAUGACGUCAAAUCAUCAUGCCCUUUAUGCCCAGGGCUUCACACAUGCUACAAUGGUUAGUACAACGCGCUGCGAACCUGUGAGGGUGAGCGAAUCGCUGAAAGCUAAUCUCAGUUCGGAUUGGGGUCUGCAACUCGACCCCAUGAAGUCGGAGUCGCUAGUAAUCGCAGAUCAGCAAUGCUGCGGUGAAUACGUUCCCGGGCCU